Long non-coding RNA from Trifolium pratense (red clover), 890 nucleotides. RefSeq lists it as uncharacterized. NCBI's taxonomy places the organism in Eukaryota, Viridiplantae, Streptophyta, Magnoliopsida, Fabales, Fabaceae. The record is from RefSeq and is a predicted model, not a curated record. The transcript is spliced from 4 exons.
UUCCAGGAAAAAUUGAAUUCAAACCCUAGAAACAACAUCAAUAUUCAGCAAACAAUGAACUCAAACCCUAGAUUCGAAAUCGAUCAUCAAACCCAAAGGAAUCUUAUUCCUCUGUAAUCAAACUCAGAGUAAUCAGAAUUCAGAGAAAUUGAAGUUAGAGCAAUCAAAACUCAGAGGUUGUUUCCUAGAUUAAGCGUUCAACUCGUCUUCUCCAAUCACACUCGUCAAUCCUAAUAUCCAAGAACCCAUAAACCACUGUGAACCUUAACCCAUAACCCGUAAAUCAUCUUCUCUCCAAGAACCUUAAUCCAAUAACCCACGCAUUUAACCGUCGGUAGUCUCGUUCGUCGCCGCACUCUCACAACUCAAACUGCUGUCAUUAAGGUAUAUGAUCAAAAGUCUAAAAGGCAUGUCGAAUAACUAAUUGUAAAAAAAAGUUUGUGGUUAAUGACAGGUAUUUUGUCAUUCAAAAUAGCUCUUAGUCUAAUAGGUAUAGUAUAAUUUUUUGGCUUGAACUGAUCAGAUGCAAGCUAUCAAAAGCAUUAGUACUGAAGGCAAUCUGUGCAAAUCUCUAAGAGACCAUAGAGCCAUAAAUUUAUUAAACUCCAGACAUAUGAAAACAAGUAUAUGCCAACAAUGGUGGUUGUUGGUAAGAUAAAAGCUGCCAACAUUAUGUAUGUAAGGUUAUCAAUGGUGUCUUUCACGGGUGCUUCUACUUCUACUCUUCAAUUGAAGGAUCAAGGAUGUGAUUUUUGGGUUAUCCAUAAUGGUGUCUUUUUAUCUUUAGUUAGUUUUGUGAUGUUUCCAUCUCAUUGUUUAGGAAUGCUUUUAUAUGCUUUGUAAUUCUUAUAUUGAUUAGUUUAAAUGUAAAUUGUAUUUGGAUUUGAAGA